This is a long non-coding RNA of Oncorhynchus keta (chum salmon), 260 nucleotides long. RefSeq lists it as uncharacterized. The transcript has 3 exons. NCBI's taxonomy places the organism in Eukaryota, Metazoa, Chordata, Actinopteri, Salmoniformes, Salmonidae. The record is from RefSeq and is a predicted model, not a curated record.
ACCGCAAGUUGGAGUUUGACAGUGACUACACAGAGUUCAAGUUCCAGAUCCAAGGACUCUUCCAGUCUCUCCAGUCAUUGCUAGUGGCCUGGUUUGAGCAGUCACUAACCACUGAGCGAAUGCUUGACCUCCUCUCCAAGUUUGAGAAUGGCGUCGGUAAGCAGCUGGACCUCACAGACAAAUACAUGGCAGUACUGCAGCGCUAUAGCCGAGACCUGGAGCUUGUCAGGAAGCUCUAUCAAAAGCAGAAGGACAACCCU